This 404-nucleotide ribosomal RNA is filed under the name uncultured bacterium. RNAcentral describes it as "bacterial SSU rRNA". It matches the Rfam family "Bacterial small subunit ribosomal RNA", at positions 362 to 758 of the family's 1533-position model. The record is from RNAcentral.
UUUUGGACAAUGGGGGCAACCCUGAUCCAGCCAUGCCGCGUGAGUGAAGAAGGCCUUCGGGUUGUAAAGCUCUUUCGGGCGGAACGAAAUGGGCGGGACUAAUACUCCUGUCUGAUGACGGUACCGUAAGAAGAAGCACCGGCUAACUACGUGCCAGCAGCCGCGGUAAUACGUAGGGUGCGAGCGUUAAUCGGAAUUACUGGGCGUAAAGCGUGCGCAGGCGGUUUCGUAAGCUGGAGGUGAAAUCCCCGGGCUUAACCUGGGAAUGGCCUUCAGGACUGCGAGGCUAGAGUGCGGCAGAGGGAGGUGGAAUUCCACGUGUAGCAGUGAAAUGCGUAGAGAUGUGGAGGAACACCGAUGGCGAAGGCAGCCUCCUGGGCCAGCACUGACGCUCAUGCACGAAA